Molecule: unclassified non-coding RNA, 123 nt
Filed under: Homo sapiens (human)
Lineage: Eukaryota; Metazoa; Chordata; Mammalia; Primates; Hominidae
Description: HLA complex group 27 (ENSG00000238148.2)
Source: RNAcentral
AUUUCUCUACUCACCUGUCUCCGAAUCCGCCGUGGUGUUUCAAGCGAGUCAAGAUUCCAGAUCGCGCCCCAGGCUGGACUCGGAAUUACUGCCCCGCGGGUCUGCAUUUUCACAGCGGCAGGU